This 510-nucleotide ribosomal RNA is filed under the name uncultured bacterium. RNAcentral's name for it is "partial 16S ribosomal RNA". It matches the Rfam family "Bacterial small subunit ribosomal RNA", at positions 28 to 507 of the family's 1533-position model. The record is from RNAcentral.
GAUGAACGCUGGCGGCGUGCUUAACACAUGCAAGUCGAACGAAGAGCGAUGGAAGCUUGCUUCUAUCAAUCUUAGUGGCGAACGGGUGAGUAACGCGUAAUCAACCUGCCCUUCAGAGGGGGACAACAGUUGGAAACGACUGCUAAUACCGCAUACGAUCUAAUCUCGGCAUCGAGGAUAGAUGAAAGGUGGCCUCUACAUGUAAGCUAUCACUGAAGGAGGGGAGUGCGUCUGAUUAGCUAGUUGGAGGGGUAACGGCCCACCAAGGCGAUGAUCAGUAGCCGGUCUGAGAGGAUGAACGGCCACAUUGGGACUGAGACACGGCCCAGACUCCUACGGGAGGCAGCAGUGGGGAAUCUUCCGCAAUGGACGAAAGUCUGACGGAGCAACGCCGCGUGAGUGAUGACGGCCUUCGGGUUGUACAGCUCUGUUAAUCGGGACGAAAGGCCUUCUUGCGAAUAGUGAGAAGGAUUGACGGUACCGGAAUAGAAAGCCACGGCUAACUACGUG